RNAcentral lists this microRNA (22 nucleotides) under Rattus norvegicus (Norway rat). Its description in RNAcentral is "rno-miR-349". Its record names the gene rno-miR-349. The record is from miRBase by way of RNAcentral. Lineage: Eukaryota; Metazoa; Chordata; Mammalia; Rodentia; Muridae.
CAGCCCUGCUGUCUUAACCUCU